UCUGGUGGUGAUGGCGAAGAGGUCACACCCGUUCCCAUGCCGAACACGGAAGUUAAGCUCUUCAGCGCCGAUGGUAGUCGGGGGUUUCCCCCUGUGAGAGUAGGACAUCGCCAGGC
This 116-nucleotide ribosomal RNA is filed under the name Bacillus subtilis. The record is from RNAcentral. Lineage: Bacteria; Bacillati; Bacillota; Bacilli; Caryophanales; Bacillaceae.